This 689-nucleotide ribosomal RNA is filed under the name Desmodora sp. 2 LM-2017. Its description in RNAcentral is "SSU rRNA". It matches the Rfam family "Eukaryotic small subunit ribosomal RNA", at positions 147 to 924 of the family's 1831-position model. The record is from RNAcentral. Lineage: Eukaryota; Metazoa; Nematoda; Chromadorea; Desmodorida; Desmodoridae.
CUGUGGUAAUUCUAGAGCUAAUACAUGCAGGAGGAGCGCAUUUAUUAGACCAAGACCAAAUCUGGUGACUCUGAAUAACUCACAGUCCUAGAACUGGUGACAUAUCUUUCAAGUGUCUGCCCUAUCAACUUUCGAUGGUAGUUUAUGUGCCUACCAUGGUGGUAACGGGUAACGGAGAAUAAGGGUUCGACUCCGGAGAGGGAGCCUGAGAAAUGGCUACCACAUCCAAGGAAGGCAGCAGGCGCGCAAAUUACCCACUCUCAGUGAGGAGGUAGUGACGAAAAAUAACAAGACAGCUCUCUAUGUCAUUGGAAUGGGUACAAUUUAAACCCUUUAACGAGGAUCUAUUGGAGGGCAAGUCUGGUGCCAGCAGCCGCGGUAAUUCCAGCUCCAAUAGCAUAUACCAAUUCUGUUGCUGUUAAAAAGCUCCUAGUUGGAUCGCAAAGGUUGAGUCAAUCUAAUGGAUUUGUCGCUGGUUUUCCCAUGGUGCCUCUAACAGGGUGCUGUGGGUGGCUAGCAAAUUUACUUUGAAAAAAUUAGAGUGCUUAGAACAGGCGUUUUCCUGAAUACUGGUGCAUGGAAUAAUGGAAUAGGAGGUUCUAUUUUGUUGGUUUUAGGAGCAUGAGAUAAUGAUUAAGAGGGACAGACGGGGGCAUCUGUAUUGUGGCGUUAGAGGUGAAAUUCUUGGA